ACGAUGGAGCAGUGUCUCAUGCUACGGCCUAGAGGCGCGUCCCUACACGGUAUGUAGUCUUGGCGAGUGAAUCCGACCUCCUGAGGGAAUUGGCCAUGGGUGAAGACUGUCCAACAUCUGGCUGAAGACGACGGUCAUAUGGUGUACCUCUUUUGCUAGGGAUAGCUUCUCUCGUGAGAGUAAGCUGAGUACUAUCGAAUAGCAUCGGCUGACUCCGCACAGCAGCGCGUAAUACUGAGGGUGCAAGCGUAUCCGGAUUUAUGGGAUUAAAGGUUCCGUAGGCGGAUCUGUAAGUCAGUGGUGAAAUCUCACAGCUUACUGUGAAGCUGCCAUUGAUACUGCAGGUCUUGAGUGUUGUUGAAGUAGCUGGAAUAAGUAGUGUAGCGGUGAAAUGCAUAGAUAUUACUUAGAACACCAAUUGCGAAGGCAGGUUACUAAGCAACAACUGACGCUGAUGGACGAAAGCGUGGGGAGCGAACAGGAUUAGAUACCCUGGUAGUCCACGCCGUAAACGAUGCUAACUCGUUUUUGGGUCUUUAAGAUUCAGAGACUAAGCGAAAGUGAUAAGUUAGCCACCUGGGGAGUACGUUCGCAAGAAUGAAACUCAAAGGAAUUGACGGGGGCCCGCACAAGCGGUGGAUUAUGUGGUUUAAUUCGAUGAUACGCGAGGAACCUUACCAAGGCUUAAAUGGGAAAUGACAGGUUUAGAAAUAGACUUUUCUUCGGACAUUUUUCAAGGUGCUGCAUGGUUGUCGUCAGCUCGUGCCGUGAGGUGUUAGGUUAAGUCCUGCAACGAGCGCAACCCCUGUCACUAGUUGCCAUCAUUAAGUUGGGGACUCUAGUGAGACUGCCUACGCAAGUAGAGAGGAAGGUGGGGAUGACGUCAAAUCAUCACGGCCCUUACGCCUUGGGCCACACACGUAAUACAAUGGCCAGUACAGAGGGCAGCUACACAGCGAUGUGAUGCAAAUCUCGAAAGCUGGUCUCAGUUCGGAUUGGAGUCUGCAACUCGACUCUAUGAAGCUGGAAUCGCUAGUAAUCGCGCAUCAGCCAUGGCGCGGUGAAUACGUUCCCGGGCCUUGUACACACCGCCCGUCAAGCCAUGGAAGUCUGGGGUACCUGAAGUCGGUGACCGUAAUAGGAGCUUACUAAGUGACUAUAACAUUCCGG
This 1170-nucleotide ribosomal RNA is filed under the name uncultured bacterium. Its description in RNAcentral is "bacterial SSU rRNA". It matches the Rfam family "Bacterial small subunit ribosomal RNA". The record is from RNAcentral.